AACGAACGCUGGCGGCAGGCUUAACACAUGCAAGUCGAACGCUCUCUUCGGAGAGAGUGGCAGACGGGUGAGUAACGCGUGGGAACCUACCUAGAAGUACGGAAUAACUCGAGGAAACUCGUGCUAAUACCGUAUACGCCCUCGGGGGAAAGAUUUAUCGCUUCUAGAUGGGCCCGCGUUGGAUUAGCUAGUUGGUGAGGUAAUGGCUCACCAAGGCUACGAUCCAUAGCUGGUCUGAGAGGAUGAUCAGCCACACUGGGACUGAGACACGGCCCAG
Molecule: ribosomal RNA, 277 nt
Filed under: uncultured bacterium
Lineage: Bacteria
Description: partial 16S ribosomal RNA
Rfam family: Bacterial small subunit ribosomal RNA
Source: RNAcentral